AAUGAACGUUGGCGGUGCGCCUAACACAUGCAAGUCGAGCGGAAGUAAUUCAGCGGCAGACGGGUGAGUAACGCGUGGGAAUCUGCCCUUUAGUGAGGAAUACCUUCGAGAAAUCGGAGUUAAUACUGCAUACGUCCCUUCGAAAGAGGGAGAAAGAUGGCCUCUUUGCUGUCGCUAAAGGAUGAGCCUGCGUACUAUUAGCUAGUUGGUAGGGUAAUGGCCUACCAAGGCGAUGAUGGUUAGCCGGCCUGAGAGGGUGAUCGGCCACAUUGGAACUGAGACACGGUCCAGACUCCUACGGGUGGCAG
This 308-nucleotide ribosomal RNA is filed under the name uncultured bacterium. RNAcentral's name for it is "bacterial SSU rRNA". It matches the Rfam family "Bacterial small subunit ribosomal RNA", at positions 29 to 351 of the family's 1533-position model. The record is from RNAcentral.